AUGACAAAGCAAAAAAGGAAGGCAGGUUUUAGCAAUACGCUUUCCCAAGUAUUCCUGCCUAUAAAUAGUGCGCCUCUCCUCUACUUUGAGAGAGAGUGCGAUCCCCUUGAGGAUUUAGGGUUUCCCCUUCCCCCGCCGCCACUUGGUGAGAGUGAAAAGAGAGAGAUGGUGAAUAGGGGGCCUAGUGGAUAUCGGGGGGUGGGGGGAGGAAGAUUUAAUAGAGAAGGGAGAGACAGUUUCCGGUAUAGAAGAAAGGAAGAGGAACUAGACAGAUUCAGAGAAAUCUACCCUAACAAUGAGAGAAGAGGUGGAAGAUUUGGAUACAGAGAGGAUUCAGGGAAAUCUGAUCAGCAGGUGGAGGAAGAGAAGAGAGGGAUGGCAGAUCUGAAGUUACCUUUGAGCUCCAAGGAAGAAACUGUGAAGAGGUUGGAAGAGGAUCAGAGGGUUAGAGAUCUCAAGGGCAAAGAGGAUGUUGCGGUGCUUGCUCCCACCUUCGAUCUGAUCCAACAACAGCAGUGGUUUCGGGCCUUGAUGGCACAGAUGGCCCAACAAAAGAUGGAAAUCUUGUCGGGGGGAGGAAAUGUUGUCCCUCCUGGAAGCAGUAGAAGUAAUAUGUCUGAUGAGACUAAGAAAGAGCUUGCUAGAGGGAAAGUUACCAUGGAAAAAAGUGAAGCUGACAUGGGUAUGGGGAAUAAGCAAGGGAAGAAGGGAUGGACUCAGAGCAACAAGUUUGGUCAGAGGGAGAGCUUGGAUCAAAACAAAGCUGGAGGUAAUUUCAGAGUGUUGUGCAACAAAUGCAAAGACACCAGGCAUCUGACCAGAGACUGCAAGUUACCCAAUUGUAUCAUCUGUGGCAAGAACUCUCACAUUACUGAGGAGUGUGCAUGGCUGAAGCAAAUCAAGCCAACCCCCAAGUUUAUUGGAUAUGCUGCCAGAGGCUUAGGUGUGUUGCUGGUGCAGAACUCAAAAGAGGUAGUCAAUAGUGAACAGACUAACCCUAUGGCCACUGUGAACAUACUCUUUUGGGGAGAUCAAUGA
Molecule: ribosomal RNA, 1038 nt
Filed under: Triticum aestivum (bread wheat)
Lineage: Eukaryota; Viridiplantae; Streptophyta; Magnoliopsida; Poales; Poaceae
Description: partial small subunit ribosomal RNA
Source: RNAcentral